GGCGUGGUGGUGCACGCCUUUAAUCCCAGCACUUGGGAGGCAGAGGCAGGAGGAUUUCUGAGUUUGAGGCCAGCCUGGUCUACAAAGUGAGUGCCAGGACAGCCAGGGCUACAGAGAAACUCUGUCUCGAAAAACCAAAAAAAAAAAAAGAAUUUAAACUGGAGAGGGCUCUUUCAAACUCCAAACCCCACUGUGGCUCUGUAGUCCUGGCCAAGCACCUUAUAGUAUACUACGUACCAGGCCAGAAAGUACCCUGAGCCCUCACAGCCCUCCUGCCUGCCUGCCUGCCAACUCCACCCCCUCUCUCUCUAGCCCCCGCCCAUCCUCUAUCCCCAGCCCACCUAGCUCCCUUUAUUAGCUCCACCGGGCUCCCCCCUCCAAAGGUGAGGGGCACUUCUGCCACUGUCCACCUGCUCUGUGAUGCUCCCAGGAUUUGCAAUGGUGUUUGUCUGUCUUCCUACUUGCCCAUGAGCACAGGCAGGCUGUGGGCUGUUCUUUUUCACCCCCAUGCCCCAGCCCCAGCCCCAGCCGUGUGCAUGGCACAGAGCAGGUGCAGAAGAUGAGACUGAAGGCUUCUGCAGAAGGACCACUGAGGAUGUCCCAGGCCACUGGAGAGACAUCCAGUUGCCCUAGAAAGCCCUCGUGACUUCAGAACAGCCAGGCACCCAGUAGGUGCACAACAAAGACAGGUAGAUCCACUGAAGAUAAACAGGUCAGGGAAGCGGGAGAGAAAUCACAAAGCCCCCAAGGAAACUAAAUAUUUAUUAAAUACCUGUGGUUUUUUUCUCUUAGCACAUUUGAUGCAAUUUUUUAAACCUUAAUUUGAUGAAGUAAGUAUUAACCUUCCACAUCUUUUUUUCUUUCUUUUGUUUUUUUGGUUUUGUUUUUUUUUUUUCCGAGACAGGGUUUCUCUAUGUAGCCCUGGCUGUCCUGGAACUCACUCUGUAGACCAGGCUGGCCUCGAACUUAGAAAUCUGCCUGCCUCUGCCUCCCAAGUACUGGGAUUAAAUACUCUUCCACAUCUUCUACACAAGUUAAGUAUGGCUCAGAGAGAGGUAAAGUGGCUUGCCCUGGACACCCAGCUACUGUGUGAAGAAGCAGAGGUUUCUGCAUACAGGUCAAGGAUGGAAGAGGAGCUAAGGAAUGGAGGGGGUGGGGCUUACCUGGCGAGCCUAGGAGGAUGUGCACAAGGUCCUCAUAGAGGAUGAGGGUGGCUGGCCUCUCUGGGAGCAGGUAGAGGCUGACGGAUGCGUACACUGUAAAACAGGCAGCCUGUCAGCUCUAGAAGCAUUUCCUAGGUACCCCCUUGUCUUCAUCCCAGUGGCUUCAUCCUCCCACGACCCAGUAUGCCCCAGCCCAGGAGCAGCUGCUGGGAAACUGCCCUUCCACCCGCAAGGACUAUUUUGGGAAGGGGCUGAUGGUGGGUCAGCUGCUGUCCAACCCGCUCCUCCCCCCCUCCCCCUGCCCCUGCACUCACACGGCAGCUUGUCAACACGCCAGGGCACUGAGUUGGUGAGGAAACCGGGGCGGGCAGCAGUGACCAAGACCCAGGUACCCAGGCGGUAACUGAGGGGUAGUGUGGCCACGCCCUCUGAGUCCGUAGUACCAGCAGCCAGAAGAGUGCGGUUCCCAAAGACGUCUACUGAGGCCCUGGCCAGGGGCACCAGCUCCCCGCUCACAUAUACCUGUACCUUGAUCAGGAUCUCUGUGGGAAGACGGGGUGAGGGGAUGAGGAGUGAGGGAGGGGGCUGCUGGGGGAGAGAGGCUUGGGGGCUGACUCCUGGGGAUCAAAUGUAGGGCCUCUGUCUGUGAGUUGUGCUCUCUGCCAAAAUCAGCAGAGGAGGAGAGAGGGCUAUUUAUCCCCUUUUUACCAGCGCUAGCCCAUGCAUACUUUCACAAUUCUAAACUUGGGCAAUGCCUGUGAUGGGUGAUGUCAUCGUUAUAAUUGACAGCAUUCCCCACUCCCCACCCCCAUUCUUAAUGGCUCACAAAAUAGGAAUAUACUUUGCAGCCAGUGAAAUGCUAUAUUUGCUAAAAUAUGCCCUCAGCCCAUUUUACAGAUAAAGAAAGUGAGGCUUAGAAGGCGUUAAGUCCUUGUACUGCAGUUAAGUGAGAAAUCUGAGCUCUGAACCUAGUAGUCUACUUCUAGAGUUAAAAAAUGUUAGCCAGUCUACCCUAAAAGAACAAUGGUCUGAAGAGGAGAAGAGAGACCAAGAAAGAAUGAGCCCUGGGAGAAUGGGGAGCCUCAGGUGGAGGGGGAGAGGGCAAGAUCGAGUAACCUAGAGGAAAGAUGGAAGCUUGAGUUCUCAAGG
RNAcentral lists this long non-coding RNA (2312 nucleotides) under Mus musculus (house mouse). RNAcentral's name for it is "long non-coding RNA chr11:102442486-102444798". The record is from RNAcentral. Lineage: Eukaryota; Metazoa; Chordata; Mammalia; Rodentia; Muridae.